This is a long non-coding RNA of Rhincodon typus (whale shark), 1017 nucleotides long. RefSeq lists it as uncharacterized. The transcript has 3 exons. The record is from RefSeq and is a predicted model, not a curated record. NCBI's taxonomy places the organism in Eukaryota, Metazoa, Chordata, Chondrichthyes, Orectolobiformes, Rhincodontidae.
GAAACAGCCAAAGUGUCGGCCGGUCGGGUUGCGGAAACAGCCGAAGCUCCCGCCGGCCUGCAUCCGGAAACAACUGAGGAUCACGACACGCCGGAUAUUGCCGAGCAUCGUAGGAGGGCAUGACGGAAAUAACCGAAAUUGAGAUGUUGGUGGAAUUGGCUUGACUUGACGACGGGGGAAAAAAAAAAAGAGGGUGGAGGUUUAAACAGAAACAGCGGAUCGAUUCGGAGCGAGAAUCAGAACCUCCUGGAUUUGUCCAGGACGACUGUCGAACUGUUAAACGGCAAGCGCGAGGAAGUGGGAAACCCCGUGCACCGUGGGUCACGUGAUUCCAGCCGGCGGUGGAGGUCACCGAACGCUGAUUUGAAUUUCCUGCGAACGCUCGGAUCUUGUUAGAGUUAGUGAAUGUAUUGUUUUUCAAUGGAACCGACUCUCAAAUAACCACUGUAUUUCGUGCUGUUUUCGAUCGUCAGUUCUGGGGAAGCUGAACUCUCCCGCGCACGGGGCUUUGGCGCCCGCAUGAGUCGCGGGCCUCUCUGUGCGAGGUCACGUGAGACGUCUGAUGUCAGGGAAUCCCGCCAAAGUGACGUGCAGCCUGCGAUGUUGCAAUUUCCUGACCUUGCCUGAUAAAGGCAGCAAGGCUGGUUCCGCACCUAAUUUGGCGGAUUUCCAGAAUCUGCAGUAUCUUGCUUUUAUUUCGGUGUGAAGUGAUGUAUCCUUCAGGAAUGAAAAGGACAAUGUAAAGUAAAGCAUUCAACUUAAAGGGAGUACAAGGACAUAGAAACCAGGGGAAUAUGCAAAUUUAUUGAAGAACACUCAAUGGGGUUUGGAUUGUCUAUUUGCUCCCAGACUUCAGAUAGGAUUCUUGGUGUAAAUAAAGCAUUUUUGUGAAGAUCAUCAAACAGGACUUUUUUUUUGUUUGAACAGGAUAUCCUAGAAAAGGAGUUGAACUGCCUCUAGUUUUGUGUUUCUUGUCAUGUUCUAUAUUAAAAUAAACUGGACUUGUUUUAGUUUAAA